CCUACGGGAGACAGCAGUGAGGAAUAUUGGUCAAUGGACGAGAGUCUGAACCAGCCAAGUAGCGUGAAGGAUGACUGCCCUAUGGGUUGUAAACUUCUUUUAUAUGGGAAUAAAAUGUUCCACGUGUGGGAUUUUGUAUGUACCAUAUGAAUAAGGAUCGGCUAACUCCGUGCCAGCCGCCGCGGUAAUACGGAGGAUCCGAGCGUUAUCCGGAUUUAUUGGGUUUAAAGGGAGCGUAGGUGGAUUGUUAAGUCAGUUGUGAAAGUUUGCGGCUCAACCGUAAAAUUGCAGUUGAAACUGGCAGUCUUGAGUACAGUAGAGGUGGGCGGAAUUCGUGGUGUAGCGGUGAAAUGCUUAGAUAUCACGAAGAACUCCGAUUGCGAAGGCAGCUCACUGGACUGCAACUGACACUGAGGCUCGAAAGUGUGGGUAUCAAACAGGAUUAGAUACCCCAGUAGUC
This 460-nucleotide ribosomal RNA is filed under the name uncultured bacterium. Its description in RNAcentral is "partial 16S ribosomal RNA". It matches the Rfam family "Bacterial small subunit ribosomal RNA", at positions 338 to 795 of the family's 1533-position model. The record is from RNAcentral.